RNAcentral lists this ribosomal RNA (465 nucleotides) under uncultured bacterium. RNAcentral's name for it is "partial 16S ribosomal RNA". It matches the Rfam family "Bacterial small subunit ribosomal RNA", at positions 29 to 507 of the family's 1533-position model. The record is from RNAcentral.
AUGCACGCUGGCGGCGUGCUUAACACAUGCAAGUCGAACGAUGAAGCCCAGCUUGCUGGGUGGAUUAGUGGCGAACGGGUGAGUAACACGUGAGUAACCUGCCCUUAACUCUGGGAUAAGCCUGGGAAACUGGGUCUAAUACCGGAUAGGAGCGCCUACCGCAUGGUGGGUGUUGGAAGGAUUUAUCGGUUUUGGAUGGACUCGCGGCCUAUCAGCUUGUUGGUGAGGUAAUGGCUCACCAAGGCGACGACGGGUAGCCGGCCUGAGAGGGUGACCGGCCACACUGGGACUGAGACACGGCCCAGACUCCUACGGGAGGCAGCAGUGGGGAAUAUUGCACAAUGGGCGAAAGCCUGAUGCAGCGACGCCGCGUGAGGGAUGACGGCCUUCGGGUUGUAAACCUCUUUCAGUAGGGAAGAAGCGAAAGUGACGGUACCUGCAGAAGAAGCACCGGCUAACUACGUG